CCUACGGGAGGCAGCAGUGGGGAAUAUUGGUCAAUGGGCGCAAGCCUGAACCAGCCAAGUCGCGUGAAGGAUGACUGCCCUACGGGUUGUAAACUUCUUUUGUAAAGGAGUAAAUUGAGACACGUGUGCCUUUUUGUAUGUACUUUAUGAAUAAGGAUGGGCUAACUCCGUGCCAGAAGCGGCGGUAAUACGGAGGAUCCGAGCGUUAUCCGGAUUUCUUGGGUUUAAAGGUAGCGUAGAUGGGUUGUUAAGUCAGUGGUGAAAGUUUGAGGCUCAACCGUAAAAUUGCUAUUGAUACUGGCAGGCUUGAGUACAGGUGAGGUAGGCGGAAUGCGUGGUGUAGCGGUGAAAUGCUUAGAUAUCACGAAGAACACCGAUUGCGAAGGCAGCUUACUAAACUGCCACUGACAUUGAUGCUCGAAAGUGUGGGUAUCAAACAGGAUUAGAUACCCGUGUAGUC
RNAcentral lists this ribosomal RNA (460 nucleotides) under uncultured bacterium. Its description in RNAcentral is "partial 16S ribosomal RNA". It matches the Rfam family "Bacterial small subunit ribosomal RNA", at positions 338 to 795 of the family's 1533-position model. The record is from RNAcentral.